RNAcentral lists this transfer RNA (65 nucleotides) under Thraustochytrium sp. LLF1b. It matches the Rfam family "tRNA", at positions 5 to 66 of the family's 71-position model. Rfam says of the family: Transfer RNA (tRNA) molecules are approximately 80 nucleotides in length. Their secondary structure includes four short double-helical elements and three loops (D, anti-codon, and T loops). Further hydrogen bonds mediate the characteristic L-shaped molecular structure. tRNAs have two regions of fundamental functional importance: the anti-codon, which is responsible for specific mRNA codon recognition, and the 3' end, to which the tRNAs corresponding amino acid is attached (by aminoacyl-tRNA synthetases). tRNAs cope with the degeneracy of the genetic code in two manners: having more than one tRNA (with a specific anti-codon) for a particular amino acid; and 'wobble' base-pairing, i.e. permitting non-standard base-pairing at the 3rd anti-codon position. The record is from RNAcentral. Lineage: Eukaryota; Bigyra; Thraustochytrida; Thraustochytriidae.
CGAUAGCACAGUUGGUAGUGCGUUUGAUUCGUAAUCAAAAGGUCGUCGGUUCGAUUCCGGCUCGG